UGGGAAGUAGCUUAGCGGUAAAGCACCGGAAUUUGGAUCCGGGGAUCAAAGGUUCGAACCCUUUCUUCCCAG
This is a non-coding RNA of Coccomyxa sp. Obi, 72 nucleotides long. Lineage: Eukaryota; Viridiplantae; Chlorophyta; Trebouxiophyceae; Coccomyxaceae. The record is from the annotation of a GenBank genome assembly.